This 1465-nucleotide ribosomal RNA is filed under the name marine metagenome. RNAcentral describes it as "bacterial SSU rRNA". It matches the Rfam family "Bacterial small subunit ribosomal RNA". The record is from RNAcentral.
AGAGUUUGAUCCUGGCUCAGGAUGAACGCUGGCGGCGUGCUUAACACAUGCAAGUCGAACGAACCUUCGGGUUAGUGGCGGACGGGUGAGUAACGCGUGAGAAUCUGCCCUCAGGAGGGGGAUAACGGUUGGAAACGACCGCUAAUACCCCAUAUGCCGAGAGGUGAAAUGAAUUUCGCCUGAGGAUGAGCCCGCGUCUGAUUAGCUUGUUGGUGAGGUAAUGGCUCACCAAGGCUUCGAUCAGUAGCUGGUCUGAGAGGAUGAUCAGCCACACUGGGACUGAGACACGGCCCAGACUCCUACGGGAGGCAGCAGUGGGGAAUUUUCCGCAAUGGGCGAAAGCCUGACGGAGCAACGCCGCGUGAGGGAUGAAGGCCUCUGGGCUGUAAACCUCUUUUCUCAAGGAAGAAGAUCUGACGGUACUUGAGGAAUAAGCCACGGCUAAUUCCGUGCCAGCAGCCGCGGUAAUACGGGAGUGGCAAGCGUUAUCCGGAAUUAUUGGGCGUAAAGCGUCCGCAGGCGGCCUUUCAAGUCUGCUGUUAAAGCGUGGAGCUUAACUCCAUCAUGGCAGUGGAAACUGAUUGGCUUGAGUAUGGUAGGGGCAGAGGGAAUUCCCGGUGUAGCGGUGAAAUGCGUAGAUAUCGGGAAGAACACCAGUGGCGAAGGCGCUCUGCUGGGCCAUAACUGACGCUCAUGGACGAAAGCCAGGGGAGCGAAAGGGAUUAGAUACCCCUGUAGUCCUGGCCGUAAACGAUGAACACUAGGUGUCGGGGGAAUCGACCCCUUCGGUGUCGUAGCUAACGCGUUAAGUGUUCCGCCUGGGGAGUACGCACGCAAGUGUGAAACUCAAAGGAAUUGACGGGGGCCCGCACAAGCGGUGGAGUAUGUGGUUUAAUUCGAUGCAACGCGAAGAACCUUACCAGGGCUUGACAUCCUGCGAACCUUUAAGAAAUUAGAGGGUGCCUUCGGGAACGCAGUGACAGGUGGUGCAUGGCUGUCGUCAGCUCGUGUCGUGAGAUGUUGGGUUAAGUCCCGCAACGAGCGCAACCCACGUUUUUAGUUGCCAGCAUUUAGUUGGGCACUCUAGAAAGACCGCCGGUGAUAAACCGGAGGAAGGUGUGGAUGACGUCAAGUCAUCAUGCCCCUUACAUCCUGGGCUACACACGUACUACAAUGCUACGGACAAAGGGCAGCAAACUCGCGAGAGCUAGCAAAUCCCAUAAACCGUGGCUCAGUUCAGAUCGUAGGCUGCAACUCGCCUACGUGAAGUAGGAAUCGCUAGUAAUCGCAGGUCAGCAUACUGCGGUGAAUACGUUCCCGGGCCUUGUACACACCGCCCGUCACACCAUGGAAGUUGGCCACGCCCGAAGUCGUUACUUUAACCCUUGUGGAGAAGGACGCCGAAGGUGGGGCUGAUGACUGGGGUGAAGUCGUAACAAGGUAGCCGUACCGGAAGGUGCGGCUG